GCUGCUCACAGAUACCACUGCCUGUGUGUAACUGCCGUAGAACACUGAGGCAGGCCAGAGAGCGGAUAGGUGCUAAGCACCAGUGACAUUCUGAGGUCAUGGCACGCAUCACAAUGGGGCCUUGCCCGGGUCAGCAGCGCCCAGAGUCAGGGUCCUCCGCUGCCUGAGGCGUCAACAUGCCUGCCUGCAAUGUGUUUGUGCACGUGCGUGCACACGUGGCCUAGGGGAUGCCAAAUUCCAGGGUCCAGAAAGAGCUUGGGAUAAAAUGAAACUUCAAGGGGACGGCUUUGACCUGGGCUGAGUCUGCCUGUGCCGAGUCUGCCUGUGCCAUCCAACUGGAGUCUCAAGUCCUGAGGCAGGACGUCCAGAUGCCCCAGUGCAGGGUCCUCCUGAUCAACACCUGUCCCCCUGUACUCAUUAGCAACCUCACCCACCCUACUCUCAAAGCACACUUGGCUCUCAUAUCCAGGAGCUCUGCAUCUGUAGAUUCAGCAACAGCAGAUGGAAAAUAUUCAGAAAAUAAAUUGGAUGGUUAUAUUUCUAUUGAACAUGUGCAGACUUUGUUCUUGUCAUUAUUCCCUAAAGAAUACAGUAUCAUGACCAUUUAUGUAGCAUCUG
RNAcentral lists this long non-coding RNA (618 nucleotides) under Homo sapiens (human). RNAcentral's name for it is "HSALNT0390889". The record is from RNAcentral. Lineage: Eukaryota; Metazoa; Chordata; Mammalia; Primates; Hominidae.